UACAGGGGGGGCAAGCGUUGUUCGGAAUUACUGGGCGUAAAGGGCCCGUAGGCGGCCAACUAAGUCACACGUGAAAUCCCCAGGCUUAACCUGGGAACUGCGUGUGAUACUGGAUGGCUUGAAUUCGGGAGAGGGAUGCAGAAUUCCAGGUGUAGCGGUGAAAUGCGUAGAUAUCUGGAGGAAUACCGGUGGCGAAGGCGGCAUCCUGGACCGACAUUGACGCUGAUGAGCGAAAGCUAGGGGAGCAAACGGG
Molecule: ribosomal RNA, 253 nt
Filed under: uncultured bacterium
Lineage: Bacteria
Description: partial 16S ribosomal RNA
Rfam family: Bacterial small subunit ribosomal RNA
Source: RNAcentral